CCAGACUCCUACGGGAGGCAGCAGUGGGGAAUAUUGCACAAUGGGGGAAACCCUGAUGCAGCGACGCCGCGUGAGUGAAGAAGUAUCUCGGUAUGUAAAGCUCUAUCAGCAGGGAAGAAAAUGACGGUACCUGACUAAGAAGUCCCGGCUAACUACGUGCCAGCAGCCGCGGUAAUACGUAGGGGGCAAGCGUUAUCCGGAUUUACUGGGUGUAAAGGGAGCGUAGACGGCGCUGCAAGUCCGGAGUGAAAGCCCAUGGCUUAACCAUGGUACUGCUCUGGAAACUGUGGAGCUUGAGUGCGGGAGGGGCAGGCGGAAUUCCUAGUGUAGCGGUGAAAUGCUUAGAUAUCACGAAGAACCCCGAUUGCGAAGGCAGCCUGCCGCAGCGUUACUGACGCUGAAGCUCGAAAGCGCGGGUAUCGAACAGGAUUAGAUACCCUAGUA
This 444-nucleotide ribosomal RNA is filed under the name uncultured bacterium. RNAcentral's name for it is "bacterial SSU rRNA". It matches the Rfam family "Bacterial small subunit ribosomal RNA", at positions 331 to 792 of the family's 1533-position model. The record is from RNAcentral.